This 29-nucleotide non-coding RNA is filed under the name Mus musculus (house mouse). Lineage: Eukaryota; Metazoa; Chordata; Mammalia; Rodentia; Muridae. The record is from RNAcentral.
UCACAUAGGCAAAUGGGGCUUCUGGUUCU